UACGGAGUGAGCGAGCGUUACUCGGAAUUACUGGGCGUAAAGCGCGCGUAGGCGGCUUGAUAAGCCGGUUGUGAAAGCCCCGGGCUCAACCUGGGAACCGCAUCCGGAACUGUCAGGCUAGAGUGCAGGAGAGGAAGGUAGAAUUCCCGGUGUAGCGGUGAAAUGCGUAGAGAUCGGGAGGAAUACCAGUGGCGAAGGCGGCCUUCUGGACUGACACUGACGCUGAGGUACGAAAGCGUAGGUAGCGAACAGG
Molecule: unclassified non-coding RNA, 253 nt
Filed under: uncultured Halomonadaceae bacterium
Lineage: Bacteria; Pseudomonadati; Pseudomonadota; Gammaproteobacteria; Oceanospirillales; Halomonadaceae
Description: contains 16S-23S intergenic spacer region
Rfam family: Bacterial small subunit ribosomal RNA
Source: RNAcentral